UACGUAGGGUCCGAGCGUUAAUCGGAAUUACUGGGCGUAAAGCGCGCGUAGGCGGCUUUGCAAGUCGGGUGUGAAAUCCCCAGGCUUAACCUGGGAACUGCAUUCGAGACUGCAUUGCUAGAGUAUGGGAGAGGGAAGUGGAAUUUCCGGUGUAGCGGUGAAAUGCGUAGAUAUCGGAAGGAACAUCAGUGGCGAAAGCGACUUCCUGGACCAAUACUGACGCUCAUGUGCGAAAGCGUGGGGAGCAAACAGG
RNAcentral lists this ribosomal RNA (253 nucleotides) under uncultured bacterium. RNAcentral's name for it is "partial 16S ribosomal RNA". It matches the Rfam family "Bacterial small subunit ribosomal RNA", at positions 524 to 776 of the family's 1533-position model. The record is from RNAcentral.